GAGGGCAUAGCUCAGCAGUAGAGUGCAUGCUUGGCAUGCAGGAGGCCCUAGGUCCAAUCCCCAGUACCUCCA
Molecule: transfer RNA, 72 nt
Filed under: Camelus bactrianus (Bactrian camel)
Lineage: Eukaryota; Metazoa; Chordata; Mammalia; Artiodactyla; Camelidae
Also listed under: 1 other name
Rfam family: tRNA
About the family: Transfer RNA (tRNA) molecules are approximately 80 nucleotides in length. Their secondary structure includes four short double-helical elements and three loops (D, anti-codon, and T loops).
Source: Rfam by way of RNAcentral